Molecule: small nuclear RNA, 107 nt
Organism: Artibeus jamaicensis (Jamaican fruit-eating bat)
Lineage: Eukaryota; Metazoa; Chordata; Mammalia; Chiroptera; Phyllostomidae
Source: RefSeq, a predicted model, not a curated record
GUGCUCAUUUUGGCAGUACAUAUACUAAAACUAGAAUGAUACGGAGAAGAUUAGCAUGGCCCCUGAAUGAGGAUGACAUGUAAAUUCAUAAAGUGUUCCAAAUUAAA